CCGAACACAGUCCACAUUCUCAAAAAAAAUUACAAACCUCAUGCCCUAAUUGCAUCCUCUUUACACACACUUCUACACAAGACAAGGCUGCAUAUACAAGAACUUCGAUCGAUGUCUCCCACGAUAUGUAACGGGGUAGAUGUCCCAAACCAACGCAAAGGUCGCAGUGACGACGACCACCAUUCCAUCUUCAAUAAUCACGAUAAAAUCACAUAAAGGCAAUGACGCACAAGAUUAUAGUGAUGACAUUUCUUGUAAAGAAAAAAGAAAAGAACUGUCGUUUUAUGUUAUAGAGCAUUACCUAAGCUACUCAAUGAAAAUAUAACAUUGGCAUGAAUAAUAGUUUUCAUGCUAGGCUUGAGAAUGAAAACUAACACUACACUCUAG
This 387-nucleotide unclassified non-coding RNA is filed under the name Hevea brasiliensis (rubber tree). The record is from RNAcentral. Lineage: Eukaryota; Viridiplantae; Streptophyta; Magnoliopsida; Malpighiales; Euphorbiaceae.